This is a long non-coding RNA of Panicum virgatum (switchgrass), 797 nucleotides long. RefSeq lists it as uncharacterized. Lineage: Eukaryota; Viridiplantae; Streptophyta; Magnoliopsida; Poales; Poaceae. The transcript has 7 exons. The record is from RefSeq and is a predicted model, not a curated record.
AGAUCCGGAUCCGUGAAUGUCACUCCAAUGACUUCCAUCUGCGCCUGCUGCUUCGCCGUGUGUGCUACCCAUUCAUAGGUUGUUCACCUCACUACACAUUUGUUCCGAACUGCUUAAACCCUGACAAACACCAGCUGCUUAAACAAGGAGAUCUACGCUUCACUAGGGAGUACACUGGAACCCUUGUGACUUCAACGGAGCACCUAAAACAUUGCUGAUCAAGAUGGUUUUCAAUCCGCUUUCAACUUUACAACCCAGAGACUGGCACAAGACAAUCCACGUACGUGUCUGCAGAAAAUGGGAAUUCCAUGGAAGCAAUGAAAAUGGCCCAUUACAACACAUUGAUAUGGUUCUUGUCGACAACCAGGGAAACACCAUGUACGCUGAGAUACCCGCAAAAGAAGCAGAGAAGCUUGGACCUAUGAUACAAGUGGACAGAACCUAUGUCAUAGCUCGCUUCAAAGUUUGCAAUGCAAUUUUUUUUUCAAAUCAGUCCCAGGUCCCUAUAUGCUAGAAUUCACCUGUCAUACCAAAAUUAGUGCUGCAACCGAGCAAAUAACUGAGCCUAAGUAUAUCUACAACCUCACUCCUUUUGAAAAACUCCCAGAAUUCAUCAAUGACACAAAAAAAUUCCAUGAUAUCCUUGGCAUUAUAACAGAAAUCAAUGAACCAGAGUGGAUUCCCUUCUCCAAUCAGCCUAAUCCUUCCUUACGACAUGACAUCAGAUUGACAGAUGGAUGUGGCCAAGAGAUAAAAAUGGCAAUUUGGGGUUCAAAAGCAACACAAUUUAGUAUGCC